CAGGCUUUUCCAUUCUGACAUCGACCCUGGAAUUAAUUGUGGAGACCAGAUUUUUUUUCAGCUCAGAUGAGGCUCUAGCUACAUCACCAAGACUGCACCCUUUGAAUUCUCUCAGAAUUCCCUCAACCCAGUAUUUACAGAGCUGGGAUGUUUUAGUACAGCAGACAGACAAAUUUCCUCCCAAGCCGUGAUCAAAAUCAACAGUAAAAUAAAAAAACAAACCAGUUCAAGGUGGAAAUUUAUAGAGAUGACAUCUGCCACUUUUUUUUUUUUUUAAUGAGAUGUCAAUAUAUACAGGGAAAUCAGCCAAAUUACAGGGUGGUGGUCUUUGUUCUUUUGUACUACCCCACUAUUAGUGUAUAUCCCAGGAAUACACUAAUAGUGACCACAGUGACUAAACAUUCUUGGUUUUUCUAGAUUUAGACAUGAGGCUGACUGGGUUCUGUAUAGAGCCAGCGUCUUGAAGAGCAUCAUCUGUGGAAUGUUCUGCGGUGACCGUCAUGUCUGCUCGCGCAGCAUCCCUAACCACCCUUAGCAGCUGAGCACUUGAAAGGUGGCCAUUGCGACUGAGAAACUGAAUUUUAUAUCUUUUUUUAUUUUGAUUAAAACUUCAAAAGACACAUGCAACUACUGCAUAUUGGUCAGCAUAGCCGUAGAAAAUGAGGGACGUGAGUCAGCUCUGCCAUGAAGUCCUCUUUGUGAACUACGUGAGCAAAGGGCAGCCCGUACUCACAGGAGCUAGAGACGGGUCCACCCUGAAUGCUCUGCACCCUCAGCAUGAGGGGGGGCUGUACUCCUGCCUUCCAAGUCAAGCUUGCUCUUGUUGGUUUUGCUUUCACAUUUUUAAAACCUUCUAGUCAGAAUGUGACGCAGUAUAUUGUUGCUGCUCCUGAGACUCCAUCCCCUAUUGGACCGUCUAAUUAUUCCAGAACUGCUCCAGGUCUUGGCUGGUUUGUUUGGCUUUGAAUGCACAUCCAAGGUGCUCACCGAAGAGUUCUGGCUUCAGGAGAAGGGAUUUAAAGACCCCUUCCAAGGGUCCUUCUGCUGCUCUGGUUUCCUUUUGCACCUCACACCAUUUUUGUUCAUGGCGAGUCUUAUCAUCUGACUUGCAUGAAGACCCCUGGGUCUAAAAGAAUAUUACCCCAUGCUUGUGCUUUAAAAAAGUCUUGGUUAGGACAAGACCAACGAAGAAGAGGUUUCAACCAUUAACUCACCUGCAGACACUGACCUCUUACUGAAACUGCUGAAUCUUUCCCUAUCAACAUAGAAUCUCCUGACUUUGAAUUGACCCUGAAGCUUCUAGAGCCUUCAAGGACAUCAGCAUCCUCAGGCGAGUGAGUGAACUUAUUCCUGAUGGAGCUUGGUUUCUUCUGCCCACCCUCCCCCAUCCUAAGAUUUUAAAAAUAGAUGUGAAAGGAGGGAAAGGGGGGAAACAUGCCCUGUAGCUGUGACCACACCUUUGUCCUGCCCGUACUGCCCAGCACACAUAGGGGCCUUAGGUCUGUGCAAGGAGAGGCAGACACUGAGCAUAGAAGACAGUCAGGCCACUGUCCUCGGGAAGUUCAC
RNAcentral lists this long non-coding RNA (1566 nucleotides) under Marmota monax (woodchuck). The record is from RNAcentral. Lineage: Eukaryota; Metazoa; Chordata; Mammalia; Rodentia; Sciuridae.